Long non-coding RNA from Bombus pascuorum, 1623 nucleotides. RefSeq lists it as uncharacterized. The transcript is spliced from 2 exons. The record is from RefSeq and is a predicted model, not a curated record. Lineage: Eukaryota; Metazoa; Arthropoda; Insecta; Hymenoptera; Apidae.
CAAUCUCGACCCUGUAACACACAAAAGAAUAAAGUUUAUUAAUAAAUUGCGAAAUGUAUUAACACAUAGCGUAAGAUUUAUCUAGUAUUGUUGAUUAGAUGAGUUUGAUUGAAUAAGUUUAUUCUAAUAUGAAGUUUUAAGUAAAUUGUGUGCGAAAACUUGAAUCAUGAAAUUAAUUUUAAACAAUAAAAUAAAAAUUGAUUUGUAAUAUUCGGAUAAUCAAAAAAAUUACCACUCCAAUCUGUUGUAUCAUAAUAAGAUUGGAGUACAAUUAAGUACAUAUUACAGAAGUAUAGAAUUCUAUACUUAAUGCGCGAAAUGUUCUGUUCUCUGCCUUAUUUGUAAUUUCAUAAGGAAACGGUAUGAAAUAUUAGAUGACCGCCAAAAAGAUGAUACCAAAAAGUAUUGAAUAUCAGAUCUAUUCUGUAUCUCGUUGGUGAUAUUAUCGAUCUUUUUAUCAUUUUCCACAUUACCGAUUAUAGCGCAGAAUAAGGUUACAACAUUCACAGUGGAGAAAAUUGGGACUAAAUACAUGAAAACUUAUUUGUUUCUCAAAAAUAAUAUGUGAAACAAUAUAUAGGAAAAAGAUAUUGUUAUAAAUUUGAUCAUAAAUAAGAUAUGAAGAACUUGAAUCUCAUAUGAGAUAUUUUACCGGAGAAAUUGAAAUACCGACCGGGUAAAACAGUCAGUGGAUCCAUAGGAUUUUUCCACCGCUUGCAAUUCAAAGCGUUCAAGAACAGAAGUGAUCAUGUAGCGAAAUCAUAAAGAAUAACGCUAUAAACAAUUAAAAUAACCGUUAUACAAAAGUGUCAUUCCGAGGUUAUGAUUUGCUCUAUAUCAAAAAAACGUCAGUUUCGAUACCUUAUUUAUACAAGCGUAUAGAAACGCAAGGUGUAUAAUCUCGUAAAAUUUCAAACUAACCUAAAACAGGGGAACAGUAUAUGUUUUCCUUUAGGAAAAUAUUCAGGUCAGGGUGCUACCUGAGCGCUCAAAGUAAGGCUGCGUAUUACUGCAAAAGGAUUUCAAAUACAUACGCAGGUCGGACAUUUUAUUACAGUUUUCAUCCGCAGAUUAGCCCCUUUGGAACCAUCGAUACUCGAUUCAGGACCUUUAUAGCCCCCCAUAAAAGUAUCUAUUUGGUGUUUUCGACUGGACUGACUGGACCGACUGGACCGAAACGCAACUCGAACAAAAAGCUAUCCCCCGGAAUUUCUCGGUAUACGUGAAACGUUGUUACGUCUCGGGGUCCAAUUACGUUAGGAUCGCCGACGUACCUUCACAAUUUCAAAGACGUUGCGCAUCCCUUUCAUUUCCUUUUUUAUCUUCCUCUACAGAUCCUGAUUUUUACUAUUUCAUGGCGCGAUACUGUGAAACUUAGUAUAUACAUAUAUACGUAUGCAUGGGAAUGUUAAAAGCUUGUGGUUAUAUGAUUAGAAUUGUAUGUGUGAGUUUUGAAGAAAGAGGAAGCACUUCUUGACUUUUUUGUGUGUUUAGUGAAGUUUACGGAAUCGUGGAUUUCCACGCUUAUAUCUUUAGGUUAGACUGUUCCUUUUUCCUCGUUUUGUGUAGUAGAGAUUGUAAAUCAUAGAUAUUGUGGCAUAUAGAGAAGAGGUUGUUGGUAGC